CGUAUGUUGACGUUUGACGUUUGAAUUCCGUAGGAUCGUUUUCUCCAACGACCAAAAGUUGCUUGAUGUUAAGAACUUUUUCCAUAGACUGGUUAAAGCAAUGUAGAGGACUCAUCAACUUGGCUGUUUCACUAAAUUGAGAGGUAGGUUCAUGGAGGUUGCCACUAGUGGAAUCACAUCAAACACUCCACUAAUGUGUACCAUGCCAUGCAGCAAAUCCAAAUGGGGCUCAUUUUUUUGCCAUUGAGGGUCAUGAAGUAACAUUGAUGCCAAGUGGGAACCAGCAGAGUGCCCUGCAAUCACCACAGACCUGGAAGAAAACAGAACAGCUGAUAUUGCUGAUUGAAUCUCCAAUAUAAUGUCCUUAAGUCCAACUAAUAUGUGCACAUUUAUCAAUAACAAAUUCUAGGUUGUUUAGUUGCAAUCUAACCUUUUGGAGCCAACUCAUAUCCAACAACAACAACGAUAUGCCCAGCCUUGAAUUGUGGAGUCACACUAUAAGAGGAAAUGCUCCUGUCCAAUGCCUGCCAGUAGCCACCAUGGAUGUAUACAAAUACAGGAGCAUCUAUAAAUUUAGGAAAGAAAUUCUAUUUUUAAAAAUGUCUUUUUUAAUAGAUUUAAUAGAUCAACAGAAAUACCGUUGGGCAAGAGCUGAGCUCCAAAAAUGUCAAAUUUUUCUCCUUCGCGUUCGCCAUAAGGAAUGUCCAAGUCACACUGAAUUUCCUCCUUUACUUGGUUACUAACUUAAUUAAAAAAGCAAGAAUUCUUUUAUGAUUCAGCGAUGAACAAUCAACUUAUCGAGAACUUUUUUUUAAAGAAAGACAGACUAUCUAUCCAUCCAUAAUUCCAUGUUGUUUAUGUUUAUUCGAGACCUAGCAGACGAGAAUUUUUCAGCUAUACAACGCAACAAGAAAAAUAAGAAAGGUAUUGAAAAUUUGAAAGCAUUAAGAAGGUAUCGAUGUUUCGAAGGGAUGGGUGAUUUAUUCACCUGCACUUCACACAUGUGCUUUAGGCUAGAUACUACAUAGAAAAGGCUUACAUAAUUGACCUUCUUUUAGAAUGUUAUUUAUAUCAGAGUUGGUGGUCAGUGGUUAGCCUAACUGCCCUUUAAAAGCAUCGACAAGAGUUCAAUUCCCCGUCAACGCAGAUGAACUUACCUUGAGUGACAAGUUUAACAUGGUUAUCAAAAACCCAAUCAGCUGGCCCUCUACGAGACCAUUUGCUGGGCGAGUAUUCGUCUUCUA
Molecule: long non-coding RNA, 1244 nt
Organism: Daphnia pulex (common water flea)
Lineage: Eukaryota; Metazoa; Arthropoda; Branchiopoda; Diplostraca; Daphniidae
Exons: 4
Source: RefSeq, a predicted model, not a curated record